UACGUAGGUCCCGAGCGUUGUCCGGAUUUAUUGGGCGUAAAGCGAGCGCAGGUGGUUUAUUAAGUCUGGUGUAAAAGGCAGUAGCUCAACCAUUGUAUGCAUUGGAAACUGGUAGACUUGAGUGCAGGAGAGGAGAGUGGAAUUCCAUGUGUAGCGGUGAAAUGCGUAGAUAUAUGGAGGAACACCGGUGGCGAAAGCGGCUCUCUGGCCUGUAACUGACACUGAGGCUCGAAAGCGUGGGGAGCAAACAGG
This 252-nucleotide ribosomal RNA is filed under the name uncultured bacterium. RNAcentral's name for it is "partial 16S ribosomal RNA". It matches the Rfam family "Bacterial small subunit ribosomal RNA", at positions 524 to 776 of the family's 1533-position model. The record is from RNAcentral.